RNAcentral lists this long non-coding RNA (228 nucleotides) under Vigna radiata. Its description in RNAcentral is "long non-coding RNA (VRAD_LNC015256)". The record is from RNAcentral. Lineage: Eukaryota; Viridiplantae; Streptophyta; Magnoliopsida; Fabales; Fabaceae.
CUCCAAUUUCUUAAAGAUUUCCAUAAACCUCUCAAGCUGUUUUUCGUUCUCCUUCCUUGAAUAAAUCUUUGGAUAAGGAAGGGGUUUUCCAAACUCUUUCUCUUUUUUCUCUAAUCUACCUCUUCUUUCUUUUUUUCUCCCUCAAUUCUCUCUUUUUCUCUCAUCUCACUUUCUUCCUCCUCUCUUUUCUUUUUCCGCUCACUUUCUUCUUCCUCACUCAAAUUUUCU